GAUCCCGCCUACGGGCGGGGUUAAGUGGUAGGGGAGCGUUCUAUGGUAGGUCGAAGGGGUACCGAGAGGAGCCCUGGACGAAAUAGAAGUGAUUAUGCCGGUAUGAGUAGCGAAAAUCCCGAUGAGAAAACGGGACGCCGAAAAUCUAAGGUUUCCUGGGGAAGGUUAAUCCGCCCAGGGUUAGUCGAUCCUAAGCCGAGGCCGAAAGGCGUAGGCGAUGGACAAUCCGUUAAUAUUCGGAUACCACCUGUUUGGUGUUUGAGUUUUGGAGUGACGCAGAAGGUUAAACCAUCGCGCUGUAAGGAUGUGCGCGUCCAAGCCUGUAGCUUUGCCGCAAGGCAAGGUGAGGGGUGUUAGGGAGCCUGAUCUACGGAGAGGGUAAACUGGUUGAUACCACGCUGCCUAGAAAAACCUCUAAAAUGAAUCAAACGGGUGAUCGUACCGUAAACCGACACAGGUAGAUGGGGAAAAUAUCCUAAGGCGCUCGAUAUAACCCUUGUUAAGGAACUAGGCAAAAUAGCCCCGUAACUUCGGAAGAAGGGGUGCCCCGAAUGGUAAACGUCCUGCGACGCGAGCUGUUCGGAGUUUCAAUAAAGUGGCUCUUGUGACUGUUUAGCAAAAACACAUGUCUCUGCUAACUCGCUGAGAGGAAGUAUAGGGACUGACACCUGCCCGGUGCUGGAAGGUUAAGGGGAAUUGUUACCCCGCCAAUUGGCGGGGGAAGCUCUGAACCGAAGCCCCAGUAAACGGCGGCCGUAACUAUAACGGUCCUAAGGUAGCGAAAUUCCUUGUCGGGUAAGUUCCGACCCGCACGAAUGGUGUAACAACAGGAGCGCUGUCUCAACAGGGGUAUCGGUGAAAUUGUAGCAGCGGUGAAGAUGCCGCGAACCCGCGACUAGACGAAAAGACCCCGGAACCUUUACUGUACUCUGAUACUGGACUUUGGUUCGAUAUGUGUAGGAUAGGUGGGAGGCUUUGAAGCUCGGGCGUUAGCUUGAGUGGAGCCAACCGUGAAAUACCACCCUUAUUUAACUAGGGUUCUAACCCGCAGCCGUGAAUCCGGCUGGGGGACAAUGCCAGACGGGCAGUUUGACUGGGGCGGUUACCUCCUAAAUUGUAACGGAGGUGUUCAAAGGUUUCCUCAGUGCGGUCGGCAAUCGCACGCAGAGCGUAAAGGUAUAAGGUAGCUUAACUGCGAGACCUACAAGUCGAGCAGAUACGAAAGUAGGACUUAGUGAUCCGGCGGUAGAAUAUGGAAUCGCCGUCGCUCAACGGAUAAAAGGUACUCCGGGGAUAACAGGCUUAUCUUCUCCAAGAGUUCAUAUCGACGAGAAGGUUUGGCACCUCGAUGUCGGCUCAUCGCAUCCUGGGGCUGAAGAAGGUCCCAAGGGUCC
This 1394-nucleotide ribosomal RNA is filed under the name Candidatus Omnitrophota bacterium. RNAcentral's name for it is "partial 23S ribosomal RNA". It matches the Rfam family "Bacterial large subunit ribosomal RNA", at positions 1205 to 2574 of the family's 2925-position model. The record is from RNAcentral. Lineage: Bacteria; Pseudomonadati; Candidatus Omnitrophota.